Molecule: ribosomal RNA, 253 nt
Filed under: uncultured bacterium
Lineage: Bacteria
Description: partial 16S ribosomal RNA
Rfam family: Bacterial small subunit ribosomal RNA
Source: RNAcentral
UACGAAGGGGGCUAGCGUUGUUCGGAAUUACUGGGCGUAAAGCGUGCGCAGGCGGCCUUCCAAGUCAGGGGUGAAAGCCCAGAGUUCAACUCUGGAAUUGCCUUUGAGACUGUGAGGCUUGAGUACGGGAGAGGUGAGUGGAAUUCCCAGUGUAGAGGUGAAAUUCGUAGAUAUUGGGAAGAACACCGGUGGCGAAGGCGGCUCACUGGCCCGAAACUGACGCUCAUGCACGAAAGCGUGGGGAUCAAACAGG